UACGGAGGGUGCGAGCGUUGUUCGGAAUUAUUGGGCGUAAAGGGCGUGCAGGCGGUCUGUUAAGUCUGAUGUGAAAGCCCCGGGCCUAACCCGGGAAGCGCAUUGGAAACUGGGAGACUUGAGUACGGGAGAGGAGAGUGGAAUUCCUGGUGUAGGAGUGAAAUCCGCAGAGAUCAGGAAGAACACCGGUGGCGAAGGCGGCUCUCUGGACCGAUACUGACGCUGAGACGCGAAAGCGUGGGGAGCAAACAGG
This 253-nucleotide ribosomal RNA is filed under the name uncultured bacterium. RNAcentral describes it as "partial 16S ribosomal RNA". It matches the Rfam family "Bacterial small subunit ribosomal RNA", at positions 524 to 776 of the family's 1533-position model. The record is from RNAcentral.